RNAcentral lists this ribosomal RNA (680 nucleotides) under uncultured bacterium. RNAcentral describes it as "bacterial SSU rRNA". It matches the Rfam family "Bacterial small subunit ribosomal RNA", at positions 112 to 807 of the family's 1533-position model. The record is from RNAcentral.
AACACGUGAAGAAUCUGCCUUCAACUCUGGGAUAACUCCGGGAAACCGGGGCUAAUACCGGAUAUGAGCCUUGAUCGCAUGAUCGGGGCUGGAAAGUUUUUCGGUUGAAGAUGACUUCGCGGCCUAUCAGCUUGCUGGUGAGGUAAUGGCUCACCAAGGCGACGACGGGUAGCCGGCCUGAGAGGGCGACCGGCCACACUGGGACUGAGACACGGCCCAGACUCCUACGGGAGGCAGCAGUGGGGAAUAUUGGGCAAUGGAGGAAACUCUGACCCAGCGACGCCGCGUGAGGGAUGAAGGCCUUCGGGUUGUAAACCUCUUUCAGUAGGGAGGAAGCGAAAGUGACGGUACCUACAGAAGAAGCACCGGCUAACUAUGUGCCAGCAGCCGCGGUAAUACAUAGGGUGCAAGCGUUGUCCGGAAUUAUUGGGCGUAAAGAGCUCGUAGGUGGUUCGAUACGUCGGAUGUGAAAAUCAGGGGCUCAACCCCUGACCUGCAUCCGAUACGGUCGAGCUGGAGUUUGGUAGGGGAGACUGGAAUUCCUGGUGUAGCGGUGGAAUGCGCAGAUAUCAGGAGGAACACCGAUGGCGAAGGCAGGUCUCUGGGCCAAUACUGACACUGAGGAGCGAAAGCGUGGGGAGCGAACAGGAUUAGAUACCCUGGUAGUCCACGCCGUAAAC